UAUAUUUACAGUAAAAAAUUACAAAAAUAGUAAAAGACAAUGAUUUAGACUUAUGAUCUGCUCUGUGUGGACAGAGCACUGGAGCAUUAUCAUAAAAACAUUAUUAGGUUAUAAAAUUAGACUGGUUAUGACUAGGGAUGAGCGAAUCGACUUCGGAUGAAACUUCCAAAGUAGAUUCACAUAAAGCU
Long non-coding RNA from Bufo bufo (common toad), 188 nucleotides. RefSeq lists it as uncharacterized. NCBI's taxonomy places the organism in Eukaryota, Metazoa, Chordata, Amphibia, Anura, Bufonidae. The record is from RefSeq and is a predicted model, not a curated record. The transcript has 4 exons.